RNAcentral lists this long non-coding RNA (34700 nucleotides) under Zea mays. Its description in RNAcentral is "long non-coding RNA (ZMAY_LNC000990)". The record is from RNAcentral. Lineage: Eukaryota; Viridiplantae; Streptophyta; Magnoliopsida; Poales; Poaceae.
GGAGGUGAAGGAUGAGGAAGAAAAAGGGGAGGAGUUGCCUCCAGAUGUUGAGACUUUGACCACAACAAUUGAAUAAACAUGUGAUUAUCAUGAACUAUUAUGUGUGCUACCAUUUCCUUUUGUGCUUUUCUAAUUACUAGCGGGAAUGUUUAGCUUCUACAAAAAUAAUAGGAAUGAGUUUCUGUACACCGGUGGCUAUGUUUGAAUUGUUAAUAGUGAGACUGAGAGAGUGGUAUGGUUAGGAUGUUAGAUUUGUGCUUCCAGUGAUUGAUUAGUAUCUUUUUUGGUAGCUGGUAUGUGUUAGUUUUACCAUAAGCUAAAAGUUUAAGUAGAAUGAAGUGGAUGUGUUGUGCCAAAUUAAAUGAAUUUUCAUAUGCUCCUACCCAGGCUCUGCUUUGUGUGUUUUGAACUCCUUUGUGAUGUUGAACAAUUGUGCUUAUUAGUUGGUAAUUUACUGAUAUUCCAUUGUCAGUCCAUUAUAUUGUUGUUUAAUAGAAUAUUUGUGUGUGUCUCAUUGGAUAUUGAGUUAUUGACAGAUAUGUUUUCCAUACCAAAACAAUGUUCUUAAACAUGCAUUUCAGGAUGAGUGAUUGGAAAAUGUUCGGAUUCUUUUGCAAGAUCAAAGUUUCUAUGCACUUAAUCAGCUUGUGGAUUUCAUCAUCUUGGUAAUUUUACAAAAAUUAAAACUCUGGUAUAAUUGAUCAUGCACUUUGCAGUAGGUUGCAGUUUACUUUAGUUUUUUACACUCACAUUCUCAGUUCUUUGGUCUUUAGGUCGGCAAGUUUGUACGACAAAGGCGACCCGGAGUCACCGUCCCUUGAAAGCGCCCCACUUCCGGAUGAUGAUAGGUUGCGCAUUGCCAGCGAGUUUAGAAUUGUGCCACAUGGUGAUGGGGGCCAUUAUCUCCUUGUCGCCCUCUGUGACAAAGUGAAAUUGAAGGAUUACAUGUUUCACAUCUUCUUUAUGUUGAAAUUGUCUUGUAUGUUGUUUAGACCUUUUAAAGGCAACAUGCCACACAUAUCUUUGUUUUGGUGUUCAGAGCUACAUAUGGUACUCUUCAUGGUUUCUGUUGCGAGUAACAGGGAUAUCAGGUUUUUGUACUUACCUAUAUGGUCAUAUCUGAACCUAUAAACUGUUGUUAGGAUAGAUACAAGGUGUGCAUGAUCUUCUUUCUAUUGAUUCAUACUUACAUAUGUAGACCAUAUUUUAUCAACUUAUCUAUACUAUACUCAAAGCACCAGUUUCAACGGUCAUCAUGCGUCAUUUUUUUAUAAAUAACCCCUCACAGCUAUUUUAAAUUAAUUCGUUGCACGUCUAUAGAUGCCAAACGACGUCCGACACGGGCUAGAUGCACGCGGGUCACAACUAUGGCAUAGGCGCGUCAUGCCGGCCUGCUAACUGUGUCGGGCCAGCCCGUUAGCCCGUCGAUCUAUUUAAUUAAAUCAGCGUAACGACGUCCGACACGGGCUAGAUGCACGCGGGCCACAACUAUGGCACAGGCACGUCAUGCCGGCCUGCUAAUUGUGACGGCCCAGCCCGUUAGCCCGUCGAUCCAUUUAAUUAAAUCAGCGUAAAAUGUUAAAAAAUGAUGCAGGAGGUGGGGUUUGAACCUAUGCCCUGAUGGAAGAAGGGCAGGAGACACUGGGUGAAACUGUCUAACCGGUAGAACAUCACGCUAAGAUGUUUUUAAUAUUGAAUAUAAAUUGUAUAUAGGUAUAUACAUUUUUUUGUAAAAUAAAAAAAAUAAUCGUGUCGGGCCGGGCCAGCACUACGGGCCGAGGCUACAACCCAAGCACAGCACGACGUUCUUGGCUCUUGCAAGCAUUAGGUCGUUUCUGCGACGUUCUUGGCUCUUGCAAGCAUUAGGUCGUUUCUGAGACCACAUUGGCGCAAUUUACUACAUGGUGUUUGAGGUUACUAAAUUGGAUGGAGCAGCAAUGAUUUGACACACUAACAACAAAAAUGAAAGGUUAUUUGUUGGUUUUAAACAUUAGUAAUUGCUACGAAUUAUCAUAAUUUAUAUGGAGCACAUCCAGUUUUUAUUGAUGCCUGACUUUAGCAAUCACUCCAUAUUUUGAUCUAUCUUUUUUAUAAGUUUGACUUCAUGGGACUUAUUUUAGAAACUUGGUCUCACAAACUCUCUUAUUUGGUCUCUAUAUGAUGGAAUUAUGUCAUUUUAGAAACUUGAUCUCACAAACUUUCUCGUUGUGAACUGUAACAUUCCAAAAUCGUAUCUUGGUGAGUUAAAUUCCCUAAAGAUUUAAAAUCUCAAGCGUAUUAUAACAAGUUACGAAUUGAGACUUUCUUCCCUAAAAUUUAAUAAAGAGUAGAUAUAAAAUGUUGGCUAUAUAAAAAACUAUAAUAAAUAGGAUAGUGAGUUAUUCUAUAUAAAUUACUCCUAUGGGGUAUAUAUAACUAUGUGAACUCCAUGCUUAUUAAAUUUCAUACAUACAAAUACUUAUUUGAACAAAGUAAAUAAGGAGUAAAUAAAUGUGAAAUAAUCAUUUCAUAUUGGUGUUUGUUUGUGCAUUCAAAUAGGGUCUGGAUUUCAAAACCUCACUUGAAAUUGAAUUUGAAAUCUGAAAAUAGGAAAGAAGAUAAGAAAAUAAAUGAAAAAAAUAAAAAAAGGGAAGAUCCACUUGCGUUGCAGCCCACCCCCACAUUCCCCCAGCCAGCCCACAUCCCUAUUUUGUAUUAUUUUAUUCCCCUUGCCACGGAUGACAUCACACCUUACGUCAUCAUGCAAGCCAAAUUCUAUCUCCAUCGUAUCUGGGAGUCUGCUCCCCGGCAUUCGUAACAAACACCGUGAUUUGGAAUGACCAAGCGCUGCGACCGUUCCGUAUUUCGGGGUGAUACACCGGGCGAUUUUCCCGCGCGGACUCCACCCGUGAUGCAUAAAAGCCAAGCUUGAGUCCCAGCUCCGCUUCUCCCACUCCCAGGCCAGCCACCUCGAAUCGCAUCCGCGUCUACUCCGCGUGCUAUCCCGUCGCAGCCUCAGCUGUACACCGGCGAUGAAUUUCGCCUGUGUCUGGACUUUGGUGUUGACACACGGCGAAAACUGGUCGGUCGGGCCGUGGUGAGUUCGCCAACUAGGCCGGCUCAUCCCCGUCGUUGACCGUCGCACCUGCGCCUGCUGUCGUGGGAAACUGAGGGGAGAGAAGGGAGUGACCGCCGCCACAGAUGAGGCUAGCCAGAGAAUCCUCCUGCUGCGCGCCGAAGCGGAAAUAUCUUCCUGCUUCCGUGAUUCACGCUAGAUACUUAGACGCUAGGUGUCGGGCGGGUUAUCUCUGGUGGGGCAUGGCCACGGCGCGCCAGUGCUCUGGUUCUUGUCGCGUUGGGGAAGACGGCUUGGUAGCCGGAGAUUUGAAGACUAGCGGUCGAGAUCGGAUAAGCAUGCUGUUUGUGGGAACCAUAAUCUGGGUUGUUGGAUUGGGAUCCAACGGUGGGGGAUAGAUCGCGCGUUAAUACAACCCCGUCCAUGGAUCUCGGAUCCUAUGGACCCGAUGACAUACCGUUUCACGGGGUGGCCGGUAGAAUCAGGGUCGUUGGCCUCUAAUCCAACGGAUCUCGUUUGACCAUACCCUUUCGGCCACACAUUUUGCAAAAGAGCCCCUAUACUUUCCUAAAAACACCCCACAGUCUAGCCUUACUGUGCACUGAGAUUUAGGACUUUUAUGAGUUAGACCCCUAGGCUUCUUUGAUUUAGCGCGCGCAGACCAGGAAUUGGAUAAUUAAAGAAAAGGAAUAUAAACUGAUUUUUAAUGCAAUAGUAAUUACUAGAACUUGUAUAAUUCAUAGAAAAUUCAUAUAGAGUCUAAAUUGGUCCAUUCCAGCUCCUAUAAUUUUGUAAAAUUAUUGUUUAUCAAUUAGUGCCACUGUUUUGACAUGAAAACAUAUAUUAAAUUGGAUCACCUAAUUAAUCUUGUACAAAACAUAUGGAAUCUUCAGAAAAUCAUAACUCCUGCGUCUUAAUUCCGAAUUUACUCGUUCCAGUCGCGUUAGUCUCGUAUAAAUAUUUACUACGCAGUAACAACAUUUAUUAUACCAUGUCUCACUAUUUUAUAAUUAGAUCUGUAUUGAACUGAGGUUGGUUAGUCUGGUUAAACUACUUAUCAUUAUAAUCUACUAGAAUAUGAUCUAUGGUCAAUUCAUAACUUAGAUUAAAGUGGAGAUAAUUAUUUAUAGAAUAACCUCUCAAAUGAUUUAUAUUAACCAAUUUAUAAUAUAGUUUAAUAUUUUAACCACACAGAUCUUUUAUAAAAUCAUAACCCCUUAAUUGUGACUCCGAUCUUAGUAGUUCUCGAUCCCGCGAUCUCGUAGCUUCGCGUAGACUAUUAUUACGCAGUUUAUUCUUAUGAUUGGUGUAAUGUUAAUUUUAGCCUAUACCAUGUUUGUCUGUAUUGCUACGUUUAGCAGUGAGGACACAUGUCAUCUGAAGAUCAUCCUGGUACCUGGAAUCUCAAGUCCCAGGCAAGUUGUGCCCUUGAUCACUUCUUUUACCCAGUCAUGUUCUGAUUAAUCAUAAUGAUCUUCAUAGAUUAAUUUUGAUGGGACCCAAUAUGUUACCCCAGUUUGACUAUCUUUAUACCUUGAUUACCACUACACUUUUGGGUACUACCUGCUAUUGCUUUAUGUGGUUAUGGGUAUGGAGAUACAUUUUAUUCAUGAUUAUACUUUUAUUAUCAGUUGUUAAUUACUGUUCAUGAUAAGAUCAUUAUGUUAAUUGGAACAUGGAGAACCACCCGGGAAAACAGUGCUACCACAAGGGUUUAUGGACGCCCUUGGCUGAUUAAUUAGGAAAGCUAGUGGAUGACUACCUUACCCGAAAGGGGCAAGGGCAGUAGGGGAGUGGUCAGUGUAGGGAGGCCCUUGGGAUGAUUUUGCUGCGAUGGCGGUCAUGCGAGGGAUUCCUGCAUUGGAGCUUUCUAUAAACUGUAGCGGGUUUUCUGAAGCUAGUGGAACUUUGUAAAGGCCUCGUAGUGUUACCCUGCCUCGCCUCCUCGGUAGAGGUGUAUGGGAUUGGCCGUCUCUUGGCAGAUGGGUAACAUGACUUGUGGGUAAAGAUGCACAACCUCUGCAGAGUGUAAAACUAGUAUACUAGCCGUGCUCACGGUCAUGAGCAGCUCGGACACUCACAUGAUUAAAUUAUGGAACCUAAACUCAAUUUGUCAUAUGCAUUGCAUCGCAGGUGAGGUUGUUACUUCUGUUCUACUAUUUAAUUGGGUUGGUAUUUACUUAUACUUAGUAACUGCUAAUAAAAUUUUGACCAACUUUAAAAGCAAUGCUCAACUCUAACCAUCCUCUUUGGUAAGCCUUACACUUCACGUGAGCUCCCACCGUUGGCGAGUUCAUGCAUAUUAUUCCCCACAACUUGUUGAGCGAUGAACGUAUGUGAGCUCACUCUUGCUGUCUCACACCCCCCACAGGUCAAGAGCAGGUACCGCAGGAUGAGGCGCAUGGAGGAUGCUGCGAUGAGUUCGUGAGAGAUCUAGGCCGUCGUCUCCUAGUCAACUUUGGGUUGCUGGACCGUUGUCUCCAUAUAAUGUAAUUAUUUAUUUAUUUUGUACAAAACUCCGAUUAUAUAGUAAAGAUGUGACAUUCGAUCCUGUGCCAUGAUUCAUCAUAUGUGUGAGACUUGGUCCCAGCACACCUGGUGAUUAUGUUCGCGCCCGGGUCUUGGUGCCCCGAAACCCGGGUGUGACAGAAGUGGUAUCAGAGGAAUGUUGACUGUAGGAUGAAACCUAGAUAGAACUGGACAACCAUUGUCUACUUACCUCUGCUACUCUUAUUCUUUCUAAACUUAUCUUAAUCUUUUCUCAUCUAUUUCCGCUUUACUCUGAUUAUUCUUAUCUUUUCUUUCUAAAAGACAAAAGUGGAUUUCACACUUUGAAAUCUUGUACCUAAAGUGACUUUUAGGAAUAGGAGACCUAAUCUUAGGAACAAAAACAAAACUAUUUUUUUAUAUCUAUGCACUUGAAUGUUUGUUCUUAUGAUACUUGUCUGAUUUGGAUCUUUGAUUGAGUGUGAUGGGUUGUGGAGUAAUGUCCACAAUUACAUCUGCAUAUAUAUAAUGCUUAUAAAACUAACUAGAUAAACUAGAUUAUCCCUCAUUAAAAUAUCCAGCCUAACAAUAUCUAUCUCAUCUUAAAAGAUUCUAUCUUGUCCCAAUAGAUUCAUCUUGUCCUGAUAAACAUACUUACCCCAUCCUGACCAUUAUCUAAUCAAAGUUAAUUAGAUCCAAGUCGGUCUAAGUCAAACCGAUCUAAUUUAGAUCCCAUUAAAUACCAUUAAACAUAGUGUGAUCUAAUCUAAUGUGACCUAACAGAUCAAUCUAAUCUAACCUAGUUCAAUCAGAUCUAAUCUGAAUAUACAUAAUCUCAUCUAAUCUAAUAUGAUCUAAUCUAAUGUUAGUUAACGUUGAUGGAAUGGGUUAGACUCUACCCCUAUAAAACAUAAUUUAACUUAAUUAACUCUGCACUAAAUUAGUACCAUAGACCAACUUGACCAUAUACCACUAUUUGACCUACAUGCAUAAUCCGUAUAGAUCAACAUAAAUUAAAAACACCCAAGAUUUUGAACUAUCUCAUAAAACCUAUCCUACCCACAUCUAUCUACUUGUCCAUAAACUCAGAUGAUAACUCCAAGAUUAAAGACCGAAGAUGAUCAACCUCAUCAAGGAAGGAUAAGCACCAACUCAAGCCUUCAAAGACCAAGCUGGAUCAUCAGAUGAGUCAAGACCCACUAUGCAUGAUGGAGACUUUCCUUGCCAAAAUCUUUCUUUCUUAUACAUGUCUUGAUGUUUCUUACCCCAACUUUCUUACUAAUAGCUAAAACAUGGUUAUAAGGUACCCAUGCUAUCCUAGUCACCUAAUAGUUAGUCUUAAAAAACACUUUAUGCUUUGGUACCAGUUGGAAACUAGAAGCGAAAUACAAACAAAACCUUUUAUAUCUCUUUUCUUAGUAAUCUCGGGGACGAGAUUAUUUUUAAGGGGGGUAGAAUUUGUAACAUUCCAAAAUCGUAUCUUGGUGAGUUAAAUUCCCUAAAGAUUUAAAAUCUCAAGCGUAUUAUAACAAGUUACGAAUUGAGACUUUCUUCCUUAAAAUUUAAUAAAUAGUAGAUAUAAAAUGUCGGCUAUAUAAAAAACUAUAAUAAAUAGGAUAGUGAGUUAUUCUAUAUAAAUUACUCCUAUGGGGUAUAUAUAACUAUGUGAACUCCAUGCUUAUUAAAUUUCAUACAUACAAAUACUUAUUUGAACAAAGUAAAUAAGGAGUAAAUAAAUGUGAAAUAAUCAUUUCAUAUUGGUGUUUGUUUGUGCAUUCAAAUAGGGUCUGGAUUUCAAAACCUCACUUGAAAUUGAAUUUGAAAUCUGAAAAUAGGAAAGAAGAUAAGAAAAUAAAUGAAAAAAAAUAAAAAAAGGGAAGAUCCACUUGCGUUGCAGCCCACCCCCACAUUCCCCCAGCCAGCCCACAUCCCUAUUUUGUAUUAUUUUAUUCCCCUUGCCGCGGAUGACAUCACACCUUACGUCAUCAUGCAAGCCAAAUUCUAUCUCCAUCGUAUCUGGGAGUCUGCUCCCCGGCAUUCGUAACAAACACCGUGAUUUGGAAUGACCAAGCGCUACGACCGUUCCGUAUUUCGGGGUGAUACACCGGGCGAUUUUCCCGCGUGGACUCCACCCGUGAUGCAUAAAAGCCAAGCUUGAGUCCCAGCUCCGCUUCUCCCACUCCCAGGCCAGCCACCUCGAAUCGCAUCCGCGUCUACUCCGCGUGCUAUCCCGUCGCAGCCUCAGCUGUACACCGGCGAUGAAUUUCGCCUGCGUCUGGACUUUGGUGUUGACACACGGCGAAAACUGGUCGGCGGGGCCGUGGUGAGUUCGCCAACUGGGCCGGCUCAUCCCCGUCGUUGACCGUCGCACCUGCGCCUGCUGUCGUGGGAGACCGAGGGGAGAGAAGGGAGUUGCCGCCGCCACAGAUGAGGCUAGCCAGAGAAUCCUCCUGCUGCGCGCCGAAGCGGAACAGCGCCUGGCACCACCGUGACCUUGGGUAAGAAAUAUCUUCCUGCUUCCGUGAUUCACGCUAGAUACUUAGACGCUAGGUGCCGGGCGGGUUAUCUCUGGUGGGGCAUGGCCACGGCGCGCCAGUGCUCUGGUUCUUGUCGCGUUGGGGAAGAUGGCUUGGUAGCCGGAGAUUUGAAGACCAGCGGUCGAGAUCGGAUAAGCAUGCUGUUUGUGGGAACCAUAAUCUGGGCUGUUGGAUUGGGAUCCAACGGUGGGGGAUAGAUCGCGCGUUAAUACAACCCCGUCCAUGGAUCUCGGAUCCUACGUACCCGAUGACAUACCGUUUCACGGGGUGGCCGGUAGAAUCAGGGUCGUUGGCCUCUAAUCCAACGGAUCUCGUUUGACCAUACCCUUUCGACCACACAUUUUGCAAAAGAGCCCCUAUACUUUCCUAAAAACAACCCGCAGUCUAGCCUUACUGUGCACUGAGACUUAGGACUUUUAUGAGUUAGACCCCUGGGCUUCUUUGAUUUAGCGCGCGCAGACCAGGAAUUGGAUAAUUAAAGAAAAGGAAUAUAAACUGAUUUUUAAUGCAAUAGUAAUUACUAGAACUUGUAUAAUUCAUAGAAAAUUCAUAUAGAGUCUAAAUUGGUCCAUUCUAGCUCCUAUAAUUUUGUAAAAUUAUUGUUUAUCAAUUAGUGCCACUGUUUUGACAUGAAAACAUAUAUUAAAUUGGAUCACCUAAUUAAUCUUGUACAAAACAUAUGGAAUCUUCAGAAAAUCAUAACUCCCGUGUCUUAAUUCCGAAUUUACUCGUUCCAGUCGCGUUAGUCUCGUAUAAAUAUUUACUACGCAGUAACAACAUUUAUUAUACCAUGUCUCACUAUUUUAUAAUUAGAUCUGUAUUGAACUGAGGUUGGUUAGUCUGGUUAAACUACUUAUCAUUAUAAUCUACUAGAAUAUGAUCUAUGGUCAAUUCAUAACUUAGAUUAAAGUGGAGAUAAUUAUUUAUAGAAUAACCUCUCAAAUGAUUUAUAUUAACCAAUUUAUAAUAUAGUUUAAUAUUUUAACCACACAGAUCUUUUAUAAAAUCAUAACCCCUUAAUUGUGACUCCGAUCUUAGUAGUUCUCGAUCCCGCGAUCUCGUAGCUUCUUGUAGACUAUUAUUACGCAGUUUAUUCUUAUGAUUGGUGUAAUGUUAAUUUUAGCCUAUACCAUGUUUGUCUGUAUUGUUACGUUUAGCAGUGAGGACACAUGUCAUCUGAAGAUCAUCCUGGUACCUGGAAUCUCAAGUCCCAGGCAAGUUGUGCCCUUGAUCACUUCUUUUACCCAGUCAUAUUCUGAUUAAUCAUAAUGAUCUUCAUAGGUUAAUUUUGAUGGGACCCAAUAGGUUACCCCAGUUUGACUAUCUUUAUACCUUGAUUACCACUACACUUUUGGGUAGUACCUGCUAUUGCUUUAUGUGGUUAUGGGUAUGGAGAUACAUUUUAUUUAUGAUUAUACUUUUAUUAUCAGUUGUUAAUUGCUGUUCAUGAUAAGAUCAUUAUGUUAAUUGGAACAUGGAGAACCACCCGGGAAAACAGUGCUACCACAAGGGUUUAUGGACGCCCUUGGCUGAUUAAUUAGGAAAGCUAGUGGAUGACUACCUUACCCGAAAGGGGCAAGGGCAGUAGGGGAGUGGUCAGUGUAGGGAGGCCCUUGGGAUGAUUUUGCUGCGAUGGCGGUCAUACGAGGGAUUCCUGCAUUGGAGCUUCCUAUAAACUGUAGCGGGUUUUCUGAAGCUAGUGGAACUUUGUAAAGGCCUCGUAGUGUUACCCUGCCUCGCCUCCUCGAUAGAGGUGUAUGAGAUUGGCCGUCUCUUGGCAGAUGGGUAACAUGACUUGUGGGUAAAGAUGCACAACCUCUGCAGAGUGUAAAACUGGUAUACUAGCCGUGCUCACGGUCAUGAGCAGCUCGGACACUCACAUGAUUAAAUUAUGGAACCUAAACUCAAUUUGUCAUAUGCAUUGCAUCGCAGGUGAGGUUGUUACUUCUGUUCUACUAUUUAAUUGGGUUGGUAUUUACUUAUACUUAGUAACUGCUAAUAAAAUUUUGACCAACUUUAAAAGCAAUGCUCAGCUCUAACCAUCCUCUUUGGUAAGCCUUACACUUCACGUGAGCUCCCACCGUUGGCGAGUUCAUGCACAUUAUUCCCCACAACUUGUUGAGCGAUGAACGUAUGUGAGCUCACUCUUGCUGUCUCACACCCCCCACAGGUCAAGAGCAGGUACCGCAGGAUGAGGCGCAUGGAGGAUGCUGCAAUGAGUUCGUGAGAGAUCUAGGCCGUCGUCUCCCAGUCAACUUUGGGUUGCUGGACCGUUGUCUCCAUAUAAUGUAAUUAUUUAUUUAUUUUGUACAAAACUCCGAUUAUAUAGUAAAGAUGUGACAUUCGAUCCUUUGCCAUGAUACAUCAUAUGUGUGAGACUUGGUCCCAGCACACCUGGUGAUUAUGUUCGCGCCCGGGUCUUGGUGCCCCGAAACCCGGGUGUGACAUGAACUCUUUUCUAAUUGCUCACUUUAUUGGCCGUGUUGUACCAAGAUAUAUUUGCAUGGAGUAAACAAUAACACUAGUUAGCUAAAUCAAAAAAUAUAUUAUACAGAGAGUAGAGACAAUUAAAUAAAAAAUCUUGAAAUUUUUUUGAUGGAUAAUUUACAUGGGUAUUGUUGUAAGUCGUCGCAACGCACGGGCAACCGACUAGUAAAAAGUUAAUGCUUCACCGAUGUUUAUCAAAGAACUCUACUUUUUCUAUGCAUAAGUGAGAGCAUAUAUACAUACUGCACGCUACUUUGCUCUCCAUCUGAGUCUACAAAAAUAAAAUAACUUAAGUGCUAUUGAUUCCCUGUUCACGGCUUAUGGGUUUAUCGGUUUUUGUAGCCAUUGAAAUCUCAGAAUGCGAGAUCACAGAGUUGGGGACCUCUUCAAAGGAACCAAAUCCCUACUACUCUAUAAGCACGGUGUGUAGGCGUCCACACCAUGCACCAUGUCCUGCCUCUCCCCCGGCCACCUCCGUAACUCCGUAAGAACCCUGACAAUGUCGCCCGUAAUCGCCGCCUAGGAUGUCGUAUGGCCGCUGCGAUGCCCCCAUCUACCCAGCGACCCCCAGUUCCCCCGUUGCGUUACUCCCCUAAUCACCGCCGAGGGACCUCUUCCACCUACGCGCGCGCGACUACUUCUGCGGCGACGGGAAGCGCGGCAAGGAGCCGUCCGCCGCGUACUAGCUGCUCUGCCCUGCCGGCGUUGACUGGUCCCGCGCGCACCUCGACCACGUGCUUGCCCGCGAAGAGAACCGCGUCGCCGCCACAUUCCGCCACGCGCGCCUCGGGAAGGACCCCUCUGCAGCCCCGCCGCAUGCCGCGCCCGCAACAUGGCGUCGUCCAUCCGCACCCACCAUCCGUGCGCUGCACCGCGUCAGGCUCCUCAUCUUCGAGGUCGCUCCGGUGCUGACCUCCAUGUCUCCCCGAUCAGCACCAACUACACCAUCAAGAUGUUGUCGUGCAGGGUACGUGGCUUGGUUGUCUGCCUCCCCGUCUUAUAUCCACAACUCUGAUCCCCGCGCUCGGCGCUUCGUCUUGCGGUCCGAACCGAACCUUCACUCACCUGAGCUCUUGAUAAUUUUCAGUUCGAGGGACCAGAGGCACUUGAGCAGCAGAAUGUACUCUUCUCAGGUACGUUCUUUUACCAUCAAUGCAUCGAUCUGUGUCUGUGAUGUGUUCUUCUACAUCUGUUCAUCCGAGUUGUCUACUUAGUUUUGGCAGCAUUCAUGAGUAGCCAUAUAACGUGGAGUGCCAUAAAAGAUGAUAACAAAAAGAUAAAAUGGAAAUUAGAUUUCUUUUAAUUUCAACAUAUCUUAUCAUAAUACGUUCACUUCGUAGCAAUGCACAGACGUUUAUCUAGUAUAUCAUUAAGAUAGAUAACAUACAAUUGACAUCACCGUGGGGCAAAUAUCUUCAUUGUUCAACAAUUGUUUCAAGUGUACUGUUGGAAGCCACUGAACAAAUAAAAAGCACUUGUUGGAGUCAUGAAAAUGAAACAAUUUUAGUAAUGUAAAAUAAUGAAAAUGAAAUCACCAAUCAGGCAACCACCACACCUUUCUUUAUCUGUCUAUUCUUAUUGCCAAUUGCGAGCCGCCCAGCCCUUUCUCUGUCUGGUGUCUGUCGAACAGACGAAGUGGAGUGUCCCACUGUCCCGCGGCCGAGUGAGUGGCAGUGGCCAGUGGGCCGGACACCUGGACCGCCGGUGGCCGGUGUCCCGUUGGGGGACGGGGGAGCUGCCGCGAUGGGCGGCGCCGUGACGGGGCGCUGAGCCGCUGACGCCCGCAGGGCGCAGGGCGCAACUGAAGACCGCGAGGGCCGAAGCGUGAGCGCCGAGCAGGACUAUCUGAGCGAGGCCGGAGGGGGCGAGUAGGCGAGGGGCGGAGGUAGCUAACUUGGUCUGGCUGGGUGAGGGCGUGAGGCGGCGCCGACGCUGGCCGGACCAACGGAGGGAGGCAGGAGAUGGAAUCCUGGCAGCUGGCGCUGGCGGCGGAUUUGGGCGAUUGCUGCCUCUUGCACUAAAUUUUAAAUUUAAGAAGUAAAGUAAAAAAACUUGUUAAAUGUAGUAACUUGCUAUCCAACUUAAUUUGGGCUCCUAGAUAGCCACUUCCGAUAACAGUUGUCACUGACUAUUUUCACGCCCGUGUAGAUAUUUGUCGCUUUUUUUUAAACCCGCGAGGCAAAGAUCAAGCAAACAUUAUUAAAAUAAUCAAGGCACAAUGAUUAGAUCAUAGGAGAAUAUGGCUACAGGAUGCGAAUACCAAGUGGAGUUGUGCAGAUACAUAUGCUACUUCCAACUUGUUGCAGCUGUGCGCCGCCAGGGUUGUUUACUGCAGUUGUGUGCCGCCAAGGAGAUCUGCCACCAAGGACAUCCGUCACUAGAGAGAGGUCAAACCCAGAAAACACAAGGAGAUCUGCCACCAAGGACAUCCGUCACUAGAGAGAGGUCAAACCCAGAAAACAAGCACACGUAAAGGAAAACGAAAAAAUGGACCCACCAAAUCUAGAUUCAAAAUUAAAAUACUCUCUAAAUAUUAGGAAUCGUUGUAGACCAAACUACUUUUUACUGUCAAUAACUAUUUAGCAACUUGUUAAACAUGAGUUUAGGGAGCUCUUUUGUAGAGAACAAUUGGAGAUGGCCACCUCAAACAGAUCCCCUAUCACCUCCUUUAUCUUAUCUCAAAUUUCAAACUACAAACUAUAAACAAUGUCAAACAAUGUCAUUUAUUUUUCUGUGCACCCUAUUUUACUGUAUGACAGUAUUAAGGAUUAGAUUGCAGCAACAAGGAAUGAGAAAAACAGCCCACAGAGGAUAUGGACAUGUUCUAACCAUAUGGGCCAUGCCUCGGGAUAUGAUCAGUGUGGCCUGGUGCCUAAAUUUGCAUCUGGGACAAACGAAUAGGUCACUCAGUCCGAAACAUUCGUCAAAAUGGGUCACACAUCCUUUUUCACACCUAAUGAGUGGGCUCGUGACCAUAGUGCCCUUACGGUAAAUCAAUGUUGUUCAAAUCUUCUCCUCCGACAAGAUCUCUUGUUUCCCCAUCUACUUUCUCAUCUUGGCAACUUAGAUUUGCCCCGGUGGGAUCUCUCUCCUCUUUAGUCUUUGCCCCCAACGAGUUCUCCUUGGCAGGCUUCUCCCCUGGUGUUGUGUUCUUCUUCAAAUCUCCAACCAGGCUACCCUCCCCUGCUACCGGCGCCAUUGGAAAACUCCAAAGCUAUCACAAGGUAUGUUGUAGACCAAUUUUUUAGCUCCAACGAAUUCGUGCUCGGUUUGUUUGUAUGGUAUUUUGCACAGCACAACAUGGCCUUACAUCUUGCAUAGCCAAUGUCACCAUGCAAGUAUUGAUGAGCUUAUGACCUAGCUUAUAUCACAUUGUUGCCUCGUUGUCGAUCCAUUCAAAACCAAAGUGAACAAGAAAGCACCAUUUUAUUCAUAUUCCUUUUUGAUCAAGUACGAUACUUACUUUAUCUUGUAUGUGUUAACUAUCUCAAUUUAUUUGUGCUAACACUAGAAUAGGGAGGAUAAUGUUUACUGCUAGCACAAUGGAUGGUAAUGAACAUGACAGAGUUGACUGGUCUAGCUUUCUAAUUCCUAGUGCUAAAAAUCUAGAAAAUGAGGGUAGUGAUGAUAUAUUUAGAAUUUGUGACGAGGAUAAGAUGUAUGUGUUCUUGGGACUUGGAGAUGAGGAGAUGAAUUAAACCCACCCGAAACCAUUUAACUUUGCAUCUCAUUUUUCAUCAGAAAAUGCUAGUUUAGAUCCAAGUGAUUUAGAUGUUGCCAUGCCUGUUGAUGACGAAAAUGCAGAAAUGUUGAAUAUAUUGCAUAAUGUUGAUCACCCUGAUAUGAAGUUGGGUACUACAUAUCCAUCAAUGAAAGAGUUUAGGCUAGUUGUGAGGCAAUUUUCUAUAAACGAGGAGUUUGAGCUUGGCAUAACAAAAUCAGAUAGAAGUAGAUAUAGAGUGUGCUGCAAAGGGAAUGAUUGCACAUGUCCUUGGAAACUGAAUGGUUCUAGAAGACCAGAUUCUAGUGUUAUGGUACUAACCUUUCUUCUAUUUCUUUUGAACCUAAUAGUUGUGGUCAUGAAAAUUGCUAAUAAUUAUCUAUGUUCCAUUGUUUUGUAGGUUACAAUCAUAGUGAAUGAGCAUAAAUGUGCCUCAAGCAGCUAGGUAAACUACGGGAAUGUCAAUAGAGCAUGGGUAGCACAGAAAGCCUUGCCUUUACUUGUGACAGACCUCCCAAGUUAUCAGGCCCAUAUGCACCAAUCCUUGCCUUAAUGACCUCAGAUGGUUGUGCACGUGUACCGGGUAACUAACCAAGGCUAUCGAGUUCGCCAACUGGAACUCAUCAUCCCAAGGAUCUCCCACAUAACAGAUAUAUUACAGUAAUCACAUUUGAUACACACAUAUUGGAGAUAGAGCGGAAGACUUUUACAAAGUACACUUUACAUUCCAGAACUCAAGUUUUACAUGGAAGAAAAAUAUGUAUUUAUUAUAAGUCCUGAAUAGUACUCGAAGUGCAUAACUUAUUACAAUAAUUUGAAGGGUGAAGCCUUUCCAUAAGAGAUAUAUAAAAACAUUCUAAGCUUCAAGUCCUCCACAUGAAGUAACUAACCCAAAGAUAAGGGAAUAAAACUUCUCCUACAAAAACAACAAGGGAUAAAACCCUGAGUAUGCAAUUACUCAGCAAGACUUACCCGACUAAGGAAAAGACUCUCAAGGGUAUGCUGGCUUUUGGGAAUCAAGGUAAAGCUCAUCAAUUAUCAAGGACUCCUUUUUGCAGAAAAGCAGGCUUACUAAUAAUGGAUCCUUAAGCCAAGUUUUACUUCACAAGUUAGGUUAUUACCUGAAUCUAGCAUUUGCCUAAUCUAGAUCAUUCACUUGACCUAAACUAGGUCGCUUUUACUCAAAGCUUUGUUAUACUUGUUAACUACGCUGCAGGUCGAAGAUCUAGUCUUCAUAACCGAAAAGUAACGGCGAUCCGAAUCGAUUAAUACCCAGCUGGGGAUCUCCAACCACACGACAUAUGCUUCCCUAAUUCUUUUGCACAUGUCUAUCAUUCCCACGGAUCCUCCACCACAUGAACAUGUCCACGUCACCCGAGAGCACGGUACUCCACCAUCUAGCCAUGUGCCAGGUGGGUACACGCCACUCUCACCAUCUCUCCACUCCCAGUGUGCGAUUGUAUUUUCACGUAUGGAAUAGCCGGGUUCAGGCUUACCCAUGACGAGGUAUGUGGCUAGAUAAAAGGUCCUAGAUCAGCAAGCCAACAAUCGGUGCAGUCCUUAAUCGACAUAGACGGGCGACUUUUCCUGCUCAGCGUCUGGUCUCAUUUUAAAUUAUUUCAAAACUUUGGCACCUGGUAGAGGGGCUAUGCCUGGAUAAUGAAUUUAUCAACGUCUUGAUGCCUUCAUUAUCCCAAGCCCAUUUUCUUUUUUGUAAAAGCAUGAGUCAUAGAUCAAAAACAUUUUUCUUAAUCUAUCAGCGUGACUAAGCAUCACUAGCUUUUAUUAAACAUGUAACAAUGUAUGGUAAUCAAGCUUUCAAGAAUGGUAAUGCAUCAAGAGUUUAAUCAAUCAAUUCCUAUCACCUAAUGCAGCAUAUAAGUGAUAAAAUUUUGUAAACACAAGGAAGGUGACAAAUGCACCGGGGCUUGCCUUGGUGAGGAGGAGAGUCAGGCUCUUCUACCAGGAUAUUGCAGUUAGCAGCAAAUCCAAAUGGGGCACCUUCCGGAGGACCUUCGGAGAGACCUUCAGCUGGAGAGACUUUAGAUUGAGAAGUUGGCUCCGCUUCCACUUCCACUUCAAUUUCUUCUUCUAGGUGCUCUACAAGUCAAUUACAAGUAUAUGGAUGCUUAUGAAAUGUUAUGAAAUGCAAACUCUCACUAGGCAGUUGUGGAAAACUUAAAUAUUUUUAAAUAAGCGCAUAGCGAUUAUACACAUAGUUCUAGGUUUCUUAAUGUUGACCCAAAGUGAUCAAAUUAAACUCAUUUCAAAUAACCAGAGAAAUAAAUAGACUACAGUUUACCAACUAGUUUCUUAAUAUUUUGUAUGAUUUAAACUUUAUUUGACCCUAAUUUAGUAUCAAGGUUUAAUGUUUUAAAUAUAUAUAUAUAUACUUAGCUAGUUUAUUGUUUCCUGAGUAACUUGAAUCCAAGCAGGCUCAGAUUUUUGCCAUGAGUUAUUCUAAGGGUAUAUAAUAUUUUUUUACAGGAACUACAUAUUGUUGUCAACUCUGAAAAAAAUUGGUUUCACUAUUUUGGCACUUUUCCUCGAUUUAUAACAGGUUUCACUAGUUAUCAGUUUAUAGUUAAAAGAAAAUCCUAGAGCAGUACUGUGCUUGAAACUACCCAAGCAGCCCACUGCCCACCAGAAAACCACGCCCCGCCGAACCCUACAGCUGCUAUCUUCAUUUCGCAAUAAACACCCUUGGUUUUAAAAUAGUUACGCAGGGACCCUUGGUACUAUUCCAUGUGUCGUGGAUAUUUGCACCGGGGUUCUUUCCUUUCUGUGUAUUCUCAAACCCCGGUCCAUGCUUCUACUCGUGCGACGAACCCAGGUCCAAAACCUGGCCUGCGCGCAAACACCUGCGGCCGAAGACUUUACCAGUGAAAAUUAGACUGCCGCAUAUCAAGUCUUUAGUGGACCAGUUAAACCUAGUUCCAAAUUACUGCUACCGUACCGGAUCUACGGGUGCAGUAGUUUCAUAAAUUUUACAAAAAUUACAAACAUGCGAUUAUUAUAAUUAAUAAACACCAUAGCGUUUGCCGGGUUAUUGUUGAAUAAUUAGACAAAUUCCAAAUUAAAUUCCGAAUAUAAAUCAUGACCAAAUCAGAAGAACUGAAACAAAAGCCAAAUCAGAUGAUGCGUACUGAUUAGACUUACUGAUUGUUGGCGCGCGCCAGGAUCAGCUGGGUCGACGAUGUCAGAAGAUCACGAGCAGUCGCGUGAAGACGCUUCCCAAAAACCUUAUUCGCCCUCUCCCGGUGCAGGAUCUAGAAGACGAAGGGUUCCGGAGACCUGCUCUCCUGAUCGCAGAUGCACCUCUGCGGUCGGGACGAAGGGAACUAAAAGGCGGCUCAGCUAUGAAGAGAGGCGAAAGCGAACUGGGAUCUGGGGAUGAUGUGGAGGCUGGCUGCCGGGCUCCUUUUAUAGGGCCGAGUCCGCGACCCCCGUGCUUAUCCACCCACGAAAAUCUCGCAAUCAGUUGAGAUUUUGUAGCGAUCGGUUAGGAUAAGCGUAACAGCCAAGAAACCAAAAAAUCAAACGGCAAAAGGUAGCCGCGCCCCCGCAAGGCGAGGGGCCGGAUUUCGGCGGACCAUUCACGCGCAUGUCGUGCGCCCGCGCCCUUCGCCCCGCCCCGCCCCGCCCCGGCCCGGCCCGGCCCGGCCAGGCCGGGCCAGGCCAGGCGAGGCGAGGCGAGCGAGCGCGCGCGCGCGUGUGGCUCUCCACACUCUCUCCUCUCAUCCAUGACUUGGUGAGUGAGUGUGGCUUCCAUAUUUAAGUUAGCUCUACUCCACAAGAGCUAGCAAUAUGGUGCUAUUGGUUCCACCUAUCCCUUUGCCAUCCACUUAUAUGGGCUUUUGAGAUUUUCCUGGGAUUUAUUUGAAUAACUUAAUUGGGCCAAGCCCAUAAAUCCUAACAAUCCCCCACCAGAUCUCAAAUGCCCAUCUGCAGUUUUCGCCACUGUUCACUACUGUUUAAUAUACUAGUUUUUCAGCAGAGACUGUUAAGUUGAACUUCCGCCUAGAACUCCAAGCUACACCAACCCACAACUUGGACAAUGGACUAUGCCUUGAAUUGCAAGUUUUGCGUGAAUGGGUUUCACUUGAAGUCAUGACCAGUACUUGGCUACCAGUAGUCCCCUUCUCGGGUGGAGCAUAUACGUCGUACUCCAAGGUCUCUUCAUGAGUUUACUAGAGAUCACCCAAAUCUCAUAGACUGCGACGUUAGACAGUCUAACUCAUAUAGGUGUGUUCUUUCAAAGAAUGUUCUGCAGGACAACAUCUUCGCUAAUACAAGCCAACAGAACACAUUAAGGCACAAAGCCAACCUGCCUUACAGCAUUUGAGAGUAUUGCAUCUUUACUUAGAGAGGGUCAAAAGUUACUCUCCUCAGUUCACCAAUGGCUUGUUCUUCCCAGGACCUAAUUCACGGGAUCUCCGAUCACAUAGACUGGGUUUCCACCAUGGCAACUUUAUUCGGGUCUCAUACCCAUCUCUCUCGAUGCGAUUUCUAUCACAUUACGUGGUAGUCCCUUGGUAAAAGGAUCUGCCAGAUUUUUAUCUGUUGAAAUAUAAGUCACACUUAUAACUCCGGAGUUUCUCAACUUUCUGACAGACUUCAAUCGUCUUUUGACAUGUCUUGAUGACUUUCCAUUAUCCUUAGAACUCGUCACUUUAGCAAUCACUGUCUGAUUGUCACAGUUCAUAAGGAUAGCUGGUAUUGGUUUCUCAACCACCGGCAAGUCCAUCAAGAGUUCACGCAACCAUUCUGCCUCAACGGUUGCUGUGUCAAGUGCAGCUAGCUCGGCUUCCAUGGUUGACCUCGUCAAAAUGGUCUGCUUGCAUGACCUCCAUGAUACCGCACCUCCACCAAUAGUAAAGACAUAACCACUGGUGGCAUAAAGCUCGUCUGCAUCAGAUAUCCAGUUCGAAUCACUAUAUCCUUCAAGUACUGCAUGCUGACCAGAAUAGUGAAUUCCAUAACUCAUUGUACCUUGCAGGUAGCGCAUAACCCGCUCAAGUGCAUGCCAAUGAUCAGUCCCGGGGUUUGACAUGAACCUACUCAAUUUGCUCACAGCAAACGAGAUAUCGGGCCUUGUUGCACCAGCAAGAUACAUGAGUGAACCGACAAUCUGAGAGUAUCUCAAUUGGUCUAAACCAAUUCUCUUGUUCUUUCGCAGUGUCACACUGGGAUCAUAAGGAGUUGGAGAAGGUUUGCACUCAGAGAAGCCAAAUCACUUCAAAACCUUUUCAACAUAGUGAGAUUGCGAGAGAGUAAUCCCACCAUCUGCCUUAAUCAGCUUGAUGUUUAGAAUCACAUCAGCUUCUCCCAGAUCUUUCAUAUCAAAACUCUUUGAUAGAAAAGACUUGACUUCAUUGAUCACAUCAAUGUUUGUGCCAAAUAUCAAUAUAUCAUCAACAUAUAAGCACAAUAUAACUCCUUCGCCCCCACCACAGCGAUAAUAUACACACCUGUCUGCCUCAUUAAUGGCAAAGCCUGCAGACGUUAGAGUAGUGUCAAACUUCUCAUGCCACUGCUUUGGUGCUUGCUUCAGACCAUACAAAGAUUUCAAUAACUUGCACACCUUGCUUUCUUGACCCUUUACUACAAAUCCAUCAGGCUGUUCCAUAUAGAUUUCCUCGUCCAGCUCUCCAUUAAGAAAAGCUGUCUUUACAUCCAUCUGAUGAACAAGGAGACCAUACGAGGCAGCCAAAGAAAGUAGUACUCGAAUAGUGGUCAUUCUAGCAACAGGUGAGUAAGUAUCAAAGAAGUCUUCUCCUUCUUUCUGAGUAUAGCCUUUAGCCACAAGCCUAGCCUUGUACUUUUCAAUUGUACCAUCAGGCUUGAGCUUCUUUUUAAACACCCACUUACAACCCACGGGUUUGCAUCCAUAGGGUCGAUCAGUGACUUCCCACGUACCAUUUGAAAGAAUAGAGUCCAUCUCAUUAUGAACUGCUUCUUUCCAAUCAUCUGCAUCUGGAGAUGCAAAUGCUUCUGCAAUGGUAGUAGGAGUAUCGUCCACAAGGUACACAAUGAAAUCAUUACCAAAGGAUUUUUCAACCCUUUGUCUCUUGCUCCUUUUAGGAGCAUCAUUGUCAUCCUCCUCUAGGACAAUUUCAUGUGGCUGUUCAAAACUCUCAAUAGGUGUAUUAUGUUCAGGAAUUAUCUCAGAAGAGUAUCUAGAAUUGCUAUGAAUGUCUUUCAUUGGAAAUAUAUGCUCAAAGAAAGUAGCAUCACGUGAUUCCAUAAUAGUAUCAACAUACACAUCAGGAACUUCAGAUUUAACUACUAAAAAUCUAUAUGCUAUGCUACACGAAGCAUAUCCAAGAAAGACACAAUCCACUGUCCUUGGACCAAGCUUGCGCUUUUUAUUAAUUGGUACAUUGACUUUCGCCAUGCACCCCCAAGUGCGCAAGUAUGAAAGUGAUGGUUUUCUCCCAACCCACUUCUCAUAAGGGGUUUUCUCUUCUUUGCCCAUAGGAAUUCUAUUCAGAACAUGACAUGAAGUCAGGACUGCCUCCCCCCACCAUGCCUUAGAUAAACCACAAGUGUCUAACAUGGCAUUCACCAGGUCAGUCAACGUACGGUUUUUCCUUUCAGCAAUCCCGUUUGACUCGGGUGAAUAGGGAGGAGUCCUCUCAUGAAUAAUGCCAUGUUCUGCACAGAAAUCGUCAAAGACUUUGGGAAAGAACUCGCCACCACGAUCUGAUCUAAGACGUUUGAUCUUUCUCUCUAGUUGGUUUUCAACCUCAGCCUUAUAGAUUUUAAAGUAGUCUAAAGCCUCAUCUUUAGUUUUUAGCAAGUAUACAUAGCAAAAUCUAGACGCAUCAUCAAUCAAUGUCAUGAAGUAUCUCUUACCACCUUUUGUCAACACACCAUUCAUCUCACAAAGAUCAGAAUGUAUGAGUUCUAGUGGUGCCAGGUGUCUCUCCUCAGCAGCCUUAUGAGGCUUUCGAGGUUGCUUCGACUGCACACAACUAUGGCACUUAGAACCUUUGACUAUGGUGAUAUUCGGAAUUAAACUCAUGGUUGCAAGCCGAGACAUAGAGCCAAAAUUAAUAUGACACAAACGAGAAUGCCAAAUACUCGCAAGAUCAUCAACAUUAGCACAAAUAUGGUUCACAGACUUAUUAUUGAAAUCUAACAAAGAAAAGCGGAACAAGCCUCCGCAAUCAUAGCCUUUACCAAUAAAUUGUCCAGACUUGGACACAACUAAUUUAUUGGACUCUAAAACUACCUUGAACCCAUCUCUACAUAGAAGGGUUCCGCUAACGAGAUUCUUGUGUAUAGAAGGGACAUGAUGCACGUUCUUCAGCUGCACGAUCUUUCCCGAAGUAAACUUCAGAUCCACCGUGCCAGUGCCAUGAACAGAAGCAUGUGACCCAUUCCCCAUUAGCACGGAAGAAUCCCGGGCGCCCUGAUAAGAAGAGAACAAGUUGAUGUCAGAACACACAUGAACAUUAGCACCAGUAUCAAGCCACCAGCUAGGUGAUUGAAAUACUGAGAAGAUGAAAGGUAAAUUACCAUACCCUUUGUCUUCCUCAUUGCUAGCGACCACUGUGUUGACAUUGCCCUUUUUGCCACGGCGAUCCGCUCGAUCGGGACAAUCCUUGGCAAAAUGACCCGCCUCGCCACAUGCGAAACAUGUCAAUUCAGCCUUGUUCUUCUUCUUCUUGAAGUUGGUAGUUUUGUUGGGCUUGUUAGAUUUUGGCUUUCCUUUGCCCUUGUUGUGGUUCUUCUGAACCAUGUUGGCGCUGGAGUGGCCCUCGCCUCCUUUAGAUCCCGUGUCCUUAGCCCGAGCUUUCUCCUCAACAUCCAGAGACGCUAUCAGAUUUUCAACUGAUAUCUCCUGUCUCUUAUGUUUCAGAGCUGUGGCGAAGUUCCUCCAUGUAGAAGGCAACUUUGCAAUAAUGCAUCCGGCCACAAAUCGGUCAGGAAGGACUAUCUUAAGGUGGUCGAGCUCCUUGGCUAUACACUGUAUUUCAUGAGCUUGCUCUACAAUAGAGCGAUUAUCAACCAUCUUAUAAUCAUGAAAGCUCUCCAUGAUAUACAGGUCACUGCCAGCAUCUGAUGCACCAUACUUAGUAGUAAGUGCAUCCCACAACUGUUUCCCGUCUGUGUACUGCAUAUUCGCAUCAACCAGACGGUCAACAAGGGCGCUAAAAACGGCUCCCGUGAACAUAGUAUUGGCAUGGUCGUACUCUUUCUCCUGUUCAGGAGUCAGUGGACCCUCAGGUCUGCCUUUACUAACAUGGAAGACAUUCAUAGCAGUAAGCCAGAGCGUGGCCUUGACUUGCCAUCUCUUAAAGUGCAUACCAUUAAACUUUUCUGGCUUCAGCGCGUCGGCAAAAGCAGCCAUAGAAAAACUAGGAAAUUGUCUACAAUAAGGUUUUUGGAUUGUUGAAUAAUUAGACAAAUUCCAAAUUAAAUUCCGAAUAUAAAUCAUGACCAAAUCAGAAGAACUGAAACAAAAGCCAAAUCAGAUGAUGCGUACUGAUUAGACUUACUGAUUGUUGGCGCGCGCCAGGAUCAGCUGGGUCGACGAUGUCAGAAGAUCACGAGCAGUCGCGUGAAGACGCUUCCCAAAAACCUUAUUCGCCCUCUCCCGGUGCAGGAUCUAGAAGACGAAGGGUUCCGGAGACCUGCUCUCCUGAUCGCAGAUGCACCUCUGCGGUCGGGACGAAGGGAACUAAAAGGCGGCUCAGCUAUGAAGAGAGGCGAAAGCGAACUGGGAUCUGGGGAUGAUGUGGAGGCUGGCUGCCGGGCUCCUUUUAUAGGGCCGAGUCCGCGACCCCCGUGCUUAUCCACCCACGAAAAUCUCGCAAUCAGUUGAGAUUUUGUAGCGAUCGGUUAGGAUAAGCGUAACAGCCAAGAAACCAAAAAAUCAAACGGCAAAAGGUAGCCGCGCCCCCGCAAGGCGAGGGGCCGGAUUUCGGCGGACCAUUCACGCGCAUGUCGUGCGCAAAAAAUCAAACGGCAAAAGGUAGCCGCGCCCCCGCAAGGCGAGGGGCCGGAUUUCGGCGGACCAUUCACGCGCAUGUCGUGCGCCCGCGCCCUUCGCCCCGCCCCGCCCCGCCCCGCCCCGCCCCGCCCCGCCCCGGCCGGGCCGGGCCGGGCCGGGCCGGGCCAGGCGAGGCGAGGCGAGCGAGCGCGCGCGCGCGUGUGGCUCUCCACACUCUCUCCUCUCAUCCAUGACUUGGUGAGUGAGUGUGGCUUCCAUAUUUAAGUUAGCUCUACUCCACAAGAGCUAGCAAUAUGGUGCUAUUGGUUCCACCUAUCCCUUUGCCAUCCACUUAUAUGGGCUUUUGAGAUUUUCCUGGGAUUUAUUUGAAUAACUUAAUUGGGCCAAGCCCAUAAAUCCUAACAGUUAUAGCAAGAUGGGAGAUUUGUGACGUGCUCACCAGAUUGAAGGGCAAAAUCUUAUUCAGGUGGUUGUAGACCAAUCGACUUGGAGCAAGCAAAAUGUAGGUAUUAGCAAUGGGAGCCUGAUCGGUCUAAGACAAAGAGCACAAUUAGAAGGAAAAAUGGCUCACUACCCUGGUAGCCACGACCAUGGUUGAGAACAACAUAGGGUAGUGCUUUCUUUUAUUAGGACGCCUCCACGAUUUGGCUGGCGUUUGCAUGGGCUGCGCACGCGGCUUCAACCAUUUAUGCCCACGUAAGACUGGCUACAGUGAGGUAAAUUUGCAGACCGUGCUGGAGUUUUGAGAGAGGAACACAUCACCAGCCGAGUCAUUGGUUUGGAUAGUUUUCUUUUUGACUUCACCAAUUUAAACGUUUGUAGUUCAGACUUAUCCCUUCUCCAAACAUUAAUAUUUAUUUACCUGCCCCCUUCAAACAGAAACAAGGCACCCAACGACCGAUUUUUUUUUUCUCCAAAAGACAGCACUUACUGAAAUUAGACCCCUUCGUUUACCCCAUUAGAUCUAAGCUACUACACUAAACUGAAAUAGGCUUUCCCCUCCCUCAUUUUCUGCUGACAGGGCAACUUUGGGGUUACUAUAUUCCUUUCUUCAUGUAGAAUUAUACCACCCCUCUUUACCGAAACUCGCCCUGCUUUCCAUGGGCUAUCAAUUUAUUUUAAACACCUUGGUUUAAGACGCUACAGAACGGCAUCUGCAGAGCCCCAAAGUAAUAAAAAAUUUACUAUCAAGGUCACCCGUGUGUGAUCGAGCCAAACAACUAUAACACCUGACAGGGAGAGUUUGGGCACAGUUUACUCCAGAUUUGGUGCAGCACCAAGCAAAACUUUCUUAAGAAAACUUGUUCACUAUCAUAUAAUCUUCAACUUUGAUGUAAAGAGUAUGGCUCAAUACUCCCCGGAUCAUUCACCAAGGAACCCCAAAGUUAGAUCAAUCACACAAAUCCCAGUGUGUUGAAAUGGGGCUAAGUCUGAAUCCAGAUUUAAAAACACUGAACCUUUAGACCACUGUUACUGCCAGUUUCACAUGGCUUUAGAGGUAGGAUCCUUUAUCAAACUUGCACACCAACACGUGGUCUUCCACUUUGUUUCAAUACUCAUGGCGUAAAAAAAUAUGGAUCAGCCAUUAAGGAGAUCUCAAAACGGCUUCAGAUUAUAAAACUAGCAAGACUGAAAUGCCUCUUAAGUCUGAUUUUUCAGAGUGAACAUUCCAUCACUUAAAAGUAAAGUUGCCCUUUAACUCAAGGCCCAACUUUAGUACAUAGAUCCCAUGUCCAAAGCAUUUUUUAACUUAGGAGUGGUUUACUUGCACUUGAUCUCUCACUAACUCUAAAACUUAUCUAACUCUCAACAAGACAACACACCACAUAUGGUUUGAAAGUUUUGACCUAGUGAAUGCACUCUAGGUAUAUCAAGCAAGAUGAUGCUGAUGCAUAUGAUGACAAGCCAAGGUUUUAGUUCUCGUAACACCAGAGGUGUUACAUCCUUUCCCCCUAAAAAGGAAUCUCGUCCCGAGAUUAAAAUUUUAGGCUAAAUAAUAGAAAAGGAAAUGUGUCAUGAUCUUAUUUCACAUUUGUUCUUACAAGGUAGGGGUGUGCCCCUGUUGGUUCACAUCAUGACAAUUUACAUAAGGCCUAGGAUUUACAAGAAUCUAAAAACUGAGGAAAUGCUCUAUUAAGUAGUCUUCUGAUUGCCAAGUAGCCUCACCUUCGGAAUGCUGGUUCCAUUGUACUUUGUAAAAUUUGAUGAUCUUUCUUCGCGUGACUCUGUCUUUCUGGUCCAGCACCCGAAUAGGAUACUUAGAGUAAGUCAGAUCAUGCUCGAGGUUGACAUCUGAAACAUCUACUACUUGUUCGGGGACUCGGAGACAUUUCUUCAGUUGAGAUACGUGAAACACGUUGUGCACAGCUGAAAGACUUUCUGGUAGUAGGACCUUGUAAGCCACAUGUCCACACCGCUCAAGCACUAGGAAUGGACCAACAUAGCGAGGUGUGAGUUUUCCUUUGACACCAAAUCGAGUUACGCCUUUCAUAGGUGACACUUUUAGAUACACAUGAUCACCAACAUGGAAAAUCAAAGACCGACGUCUUUUAUCCGCAUAACUCUUUUGACGAGAUUGUGCCCUUUGCAAAUUCCGUUGGAUCACUUGAACUUUUUCUUCAGCUUCCUUUACAAGAUCAGGCCUAAAGAAGUAUUUCUCUCCUGGUUCUGACCAAUUCAACGGUGUCCUACAUCUUCGACCAUAAAGAGCUUCAAAGGGUGCCAUUUUUAUGCUUUCUUGGUAACUAUUGUUAUAUGAAAACUCGGCCAAAGGCAGGCAUUCAUCCCACUUAACUGAAUAAGCAAGCACACAGGAUCUUAACAUAUCCUCCAAAAUCUGAUUUACCCGUUCUAUUUGUCCACUGGUUUGCGGAUGAUAUGCUCAACUAUGAAUUAGCUUAGUACCCAGAGAUUUAUGCAAUUCUUCCCAAGACAUGGAGACAAAUUGUGGUCCCCUGUCGGAUACAAUUGUUUUAGGCACUCCAUGUAGACUCAGGAUACGAGCAAUAUACAGAUCAGCAUAGGUCCUUGCUGGGUAUAAAGUCUUCACUGGCAAGAAGUGUGCUAGCUUGGUGAGACGAUCAGAUCAACAAUCACCCAGAUAGAAUCAUACCAUUUUGAGGUUUUGGGUAAACCAACAAUGAAGUCCAUACAAAUAUCUUCCCACUUCCAGGCUGGAAUGGGUAAAGGUUGCAAUGGCCCGGCAGAUUUCAAAUGGACGGCUUUCACUCGUUGACAAAUGUCACACCUUGCCACAUACCGAGCAAUUUCUAUUUUCAUCUUAGUCCACCAAAACCUUUGCUUCAGAUCUUGAUACAUCUUAUUGCUUCCUGGGUGAAUGGAAUACCGAGACAAAUGAGCUUCGUCUAGUAUUUGUUGACGUAGUUCAAGUACCUUUGGAACUACCAAAACAGUGUUUGAACCAAAGGACACCCUUUUCAUCGAUUCUAAAACAUGUAGCCUUUCCUGCUUCAACUCGUUCCUUGAUAUGAGCUAUACCCUUAUUGACCUUUUGAGCAUCAACAAUUUGGCUUUGAAUAGCUGAUUCAAGAAUAAGAUUCGCUAUGGUUCCAUGCUGAAUUAUUCCCAAAUUCAUCCUUUUCAUUUCCUGACACAAGGUGACAAUUAAAGGUUCUGCCAAAAGACAAUUACACCGAGAUUUCGGGCUUAGAGCAUCUGCCACCACAUUAACUUUGCCAGGAUGGUAAUGAACCUCGAGAUCAUAGUCCUUGAUCAACUCUAACCAUCUUCGUUGCCUCAUAUUCAGCUCGGAUUGAGUGAAGAUAUACUUUAAACUUUUAUGGUCUGUGUAUAUAUGACAUGUAUUACCCAACAGAUAAUGGCGCCAGAUCUUGAGGGCAUGAACAACAGCAGCCAAUUCAAGAUCAUGGGUUGGGUAAUGUUCCUCAUGACGUUUGAGUUGUCGAGAUGCAUAGGCAAUCACCCGACCUUCUUGCAUAAGUACACACCCAAUACCAAUGCCCGAAGCAUCACAAUAAACAUCAAACGAUUUCGCAAUAUUAGGCUGAGCCAAUACUAGUGCGGUAGUCAACAACCUUUUUAGUUUUUCAAAAGCUUUGUUGCACUCGAAUGACCACACAAACUUGACAUGAUUCUUGAGCAACUCAGUAAUGGGCUUAGCUAUCUUGGAGAAAUCCGGAAUAAAACGACGAUAAUAUCCCGCCAUUCCAAGGAAACUUCGGACUUGAUGAACUGUAGUAGGUGGUUUCCAUUCCAAAAUGUCCUUGACUUUACUUGGGUCUACCGCAACACCUUGGGCAGACAAGAUAUGACCCAAGAACGGAAUUGUGUCCAACCAAAAUUCACAUUUGCUGAACUUGGCAUAUAGUUGAUGUUCUCUUAACCGCGUUAGAACAAUGCGUAAGUGCUCCACAUGUUCUUCUUUGGUCUUGGAGUAUAUCAAGAUAUCAUCAAUAAAUACCAUGACAAACUUGUCAAGCUCAGGCAUGAACACUGAGUUCAUCAAGUACAUGAAAUGCGCUGGAGCAUUGGUCAGACCAAAAGACAUAACCAAAUAUUCAUACAGACCAUAUCGGGUAGUGAAAGCAGUCUUAGGAACAUCUUCAGGACAGAUUCUUAUCUGGUGAUAACCCGAUCUAAGGUCAAUCUUAGAAAACACCUUAGCUCCAGAAAGUUGAUCAAACAAUAAAUAAAUACGAGGGAGAGGAUAUUUGUUCUUAAUGGUCACCUCGUUAAGUGGUCGGUAAUCAACACAUAACCGGAGUGUUUGAUCUUUCUUCUUCACAAAAAUGGCAGGACAACCCCAAGGUGAUGAACUUGGGCGAAUGAACCCUUUGUUGAGCAAGUCCUGCAAUUGAGUCUUCAGUUCUGCUAACUCCUUAGGUGCCAUUCUGUAUGACCUUCUAGAUAUGGGUGCAGUACCUGGUUGCAAUUCGAUCACGAAUUCAACGUCCCUUUCUGGAGGCAACCCAGGUAAAGCUUCAGGAAAUACAUCAGGAAAUUCUCUAACAACAGGUAUAUCUUUCACCUCUUUAACGAUAGCAGCACAUACUCUUUCUACUACUCUCCUUGGUGUUGAUACCUGGAUCAACAACUUAUACUUACCAUUGGGUGAGUCCAACUGUAUUGUCCGUUGCAACGCGUUGAUCACCGCCCCAUGCUGCCGAAGCCAAUUCAUACCAAGAAUCACAUCUAUAUCUUGAUUUUGAAGAACUAGCAUGUUGGUAGGGAACAUGUGACCAACCAACUUUAUGGGUAUCUGAUAUACCAUCUCUUUAGUAUGCAAGAGUCCUCCAGGAGAUUGUAUACAAUACCCAGUAUCCACCACUUCCAUAGGCAACUGCUGCUUCAACACAAAUGUUCGAUUUAUGAAGGUGUGUGAGGCACCAGAAUCAAAUAAAAUACUCGCCAAAUGAUUGGCAACCAAAAAAGCUCCCAUCAUAACUGGUUCACCCUCAGGAAUAGCUUUGAUUUUGGUAUAAUGGACCUGACCCAAUUUAAGAACAAUCACAUUCUUCCUUGCUUUUUGCUGGCUACUUCGAGGGAGAUUCACAAGUGAUUGCCGCACAUCCACUAGCUUAGAGAAGCGACAAUCCUGAGUAGAGUGUCCUGACUUACCACACUUCUCACAUGGUUUGGCAUUGGAUGGAAUAUUUUUAGAACGAAUGUCUAGGUCAUCCGGCUUAGGUGGAAUGAAAGGGAUAACAGCCUGACUUUCGCAUGACUGCGGUGUGCUAGACAGCUGGAGUGGAGAAGAAAGAGGAUAAUAAAUAGGUUGAUAAACAACCCUCUGGUACCGUUUAACUUUACUAGAGGAUUCCUCCCCAAAUUUCUUUCUUUUAGACUCUUGAUGAAGCCAAAUCUUGUUAUCACCCAAAACAGCCUGACUGACCACUUCAUUAUAUCUUUCAGCCAAACUGGUUGCCAUCAAACACUGGAGCUUCUCAUUAAGACCAAACAGGAAGUAGAACUUUUUCUUCUCAUUGGUAUUCACAAAAUCCAAAACAUAUUGGGAUAAGCAGGUAAACCUCUCAAAAUAUUCCAUUACACUCUCUUCUUCCCCUUGCUUCAAAUCUAAGAACUCAUUGAAUUUGAUUUCCAUCAGGGCUUUCAGAAUAUAACGUGUCUGAAAUACUUCCUGGAAUUCGGCACAAGAAAUUUGAUGCCCGUCUGGCUGUAGUGCAAGGUAUUCUGCCCACCAGGCUCCAGCUUGACCCUGAAGUUGUUGUGCUGCGCACUGAGUUUUCUGAACAUCAUCACAACAGAUGAUUCCCAAUUUCUGUUCAAUGGUUCGAAGCCAAUCUUCUGCCUCCAACGGAUCUUCCGCUUUGGAGAAUACUGGUGGUUGCAUGCUAAGAAACUCUUUAUAGAGGAUAGCAGAAUCAGAAUCAUGAUGACCAUAUGGAGUUGAUGUUGUAGGCUGAGCUAUUUGCUGUAGAACAGCGCUCACAUUCGCAAGUUGAGCCACAACAUCAUCCAAAGUUGAUGCCGGAGGUGGAUUGGGUGCAUUGGCAUUCCUCUAGGAAGCACCAUGAUCCUUUCUAGAACGAGUCCUCAUUCUGCCAAUUAAAAAGGCAACUUAGUCCCCAGUCUUCACGGAUAGGAAAGGCAGCAUAGAAAAGUAAAGACAGGUAGCAUGAAUAGGGUGGAUGGAACACAUAUUAAAAUGGUUACACAGGGGGUUUAACUUAAAGUUGUAUGCCAUGAUGCAUGCUCGUCCUAUUCGUCCUCACGAUUCUUGCCAACAUAUAGUGGCUAUCACGUUCUAUGGCGGUGGCAUACCUACUCACUCCGGAGUUAACUAGUCGUACUUUCCUAGUGUUUAGUUAGUGUACCUGCAAAAAAUUCCAUUACAGCCUAAACCCCAUGAUGCAAUUCACACAUUUGGUCACAGUUUAUACUCCAUAUAUUUCUAUAUGGAUGCCAGCUCCUCAUUAAGAGCCGAGCCACGCAUAGGCGCCGCUGCCACACUUUAACCACAUGGCAGCCCAUUGUGGUAACUUACUUUCUUACCUGCACGUAGGUGCGUCGUUACAAGUACACUACACUUUUCAGUAUUCCCAUGUCUGUAUACCCAUACACAUCCAGGAGUACUGAAUUCCCAGAAAAAUAAUUACUCCACAAUGCAACCUUCAUAUAUACAUAUAUGUAACAUGUAUAUAGUACAGUGCCACAAUUAAGCGCUCCCCUAGACCGACGUUUGUUUAGUCAUGCUCUCACAACUCACCUUACCUGAGCGUCGAUCCAUUCAAAACAGAAUGGCCCCAAAAUAACAUUACACAUGCAUGCAGUUCCCUACCCUGUUGUGGGUUAGUGGUUAACAUCUUAAACUAGGCCACCUUAUAGUCCUUAGUUUUAACCAUAUACUAUUUACACUUCUACUAUCAGGCUUUGCUUAUCCAUUAUUAAGUUUUUCCAAAGUGAUUUGAACUCAAAAUCAUUUUGAAGUUUAUCAAAGGAUUACUUUAAUAUCCAUGCUAAUGGGGGAUCGCUCCGAUACCACGCUGUGAUAGUCCUCCCAAGUUAUCAGGCCCAUAUGCACCAAUCCUUGCCUUAAUGACCUCAGAUGGCUGUGCACGUGUACCGGGUAACUUAACAAGGCUAUCGAGUUCGCCAACUGGAACUCAUCAUCCCAAGGAUCUCCCACAUAACAGGUAUAUUACAGUAAUCACAUUUGAUACACACAUAUUGGAGAUAGAGCAGAAGACUUUUACAAAGUACACUUUACAUUCCAAAACUCAAGUUUUACAUGGAAGAAAAAGAUGUAUUUAUUACAAGUCCCGAUAGUACUCGAAGUGCAUAACUUAUUACAAUAAUUGGAAGGGUGAAGCCUUUCCAUAAGAGAUAUAUAAAAACAUUCUAAGAUUCAAGUCCUCCACAUGAAGUAACUAACCCAAAGAUAAGGGAAUAAAACUUCUCCUACAAAAACAACAAGGCAUAAAACCCUGAGUAUGCAAUUACUCAGCAAGACUUACCCGACUAAGGAAAAGACUCUCAAGGGUACGCUGGCUUUUGGGAAUCAAGGUAAAGCUCAUCAAUUAUCAAGGACUCCUUUUUGCAGAAAAGCAGGCUUACUAAUAAUGGAUCCUUAAGCCAAGUUUUACUUCACAAGUUAGGUUAUAACCUGAAUCUAGCAUUUGCCUAAUCUAGAUCAUUCACUUGACCUAAACUAGGUCGCUUUUACUCAAAGCUUUGUUAUACUUGUUAACUACGCUGUAGGUCGAAGAUCUAGUCUUCAUAGCCGAGAAGUAACGGUGAUCUGAAUCGAUUAAUACCUAGAUGGGGAUCUCCAACCACACGACAUAUGCUUCCCUUAAUUCUUUUGCACAUGUCUACCAUUCCCACGGAUCCUCCACCACAUUAAUAGGUCCGCGCCACCCGAGAGCACAAUACUCCACCAUCCAGCCAUGUGCCAGGUGCGUACACACCACUCUCGCCAUCUCUGCACUCCCAUUGCGCGAUUGUCUUUUCACGUAUGGAAUAGCCGGGUUCAGGCUUACCCAUGACGAGGUGUGUGGCCAGAUAAAAGGUCCUAGAUCAGCAGGACAACAAUCAGUGCAGUCCUUAAUCGACAUAGACGGGCGACUUUUCCUGUUCAGCGUCUGGUCUCAUUUUAAAUUAUUUCAAAACUUUGGCGCCUGGCAGAGGGGCCACACCUGGAUAAUGAAUUUAUCAACGUCUUGAUGCCUUCAUUAUCCCAAGCCCAUUUUCUUUUUUGUAAAAACAUGAGUCAUAGAUCAAAAAUAUUUUUCUUAAUCUAUCAGCGUGACCGAAUUUUUUGUUUUUUAGCCCCUUUUAUGACACAAAUUUACGUUUGGACCCUCAAAAAUUUUAUUUGCACGUUUGGACCCGAUGCUCGGCGCCAUAGGCUGUGGCGCCGAGGUAACACAACUCGGCGCCACAACCUAUGGCGCCGAGCUAUGAUGUGGCAGCAACGGCUACCUGCGCCUAGGGCUGACCUGGCGCCGACGUGGUGGCGACGCGGCCUCGUAGCUCGGCGCCACAGAUCUUGGCGCCGAGCUACGAAUGCCUAUAAAAACGGCCGCGCGGCUGGCCGAGAGCAGCACAUUUCCACUCAUUUCCAAACUUCGUAAAAAUUUGCUGGAUUCAAAGAUUUGUGUUGCUUCACUUCGUAGACCAAGGUAUGGUGCCCAACUGAUUCGUUUUGUAUAUUGGGUUGUUAGUUUCAUAGUUGCUCAUAGUUUAAUAGUUUGUAUAAACCUAUUAUAUUAUCAUUUCGAUUAUUAGUUUGUGUAAAUUUAUUAUAAAGCAUAUUAGGUACAAGUGAUAAUUAUAAUCGUUUAUUAGAUGAAAGACAUGUACCGUGAGGAGUUGUGGCAGAAGAGAGGUCGUCCUCGGGAGUUAUAUCCGGACGUAUCUAGUAAGGAUGCUCCUAUUCCUCCUGAAUUCCCCGUGCCUAACUGUGACUGUGGCAGACUGGCUUGGGUACAUCAAUCACAACAUCCAGACACGGCUGCUCGCUGCUACUACCUUUGUGGCGGUUUGGACGUACGUAGCUUAUGACUUGUCACUUAAUUUUGUUCGCAUUCAUUAUUUUGUAGAUGUGUAAUAGUGCUUCUUUUCCAUUAUUUUAGGGGCAUCAGAGGUGUUUCUUUUUCCAGUGGAUCGACGGUCCUGAUAAAUUUGACCCUCGAUAUCUUCUUUUCGUAAAUUGGUUGAGUGGAAGGACCAGUCAUGAGCGUUUUAAGCGUUGGGUACCUCCUCCCCCGAAUCCUCCACCAAUGACGGAUGCAGAGAAGGAGGUAGCAACAGAAAGACGGAUGGACUCACCGCCUCGAUGUGAUUGUGGAGACCGUGCUGUCAUCGACGAAGACUAUGAGAAGCAGUUCUGUUGUUCGAACAUUGAUUAUGUGAGCCCAUCGAUACGCUAAAUUUAUGAACUAUUUUUUAUUUACAAUAAAUUACUAAUUUUGUCUCCUGCAGCCAUACGGGUGGCGUAAGUGUCGUUUCAGAGAGUGGUUGUAUGGUCCUUUGUCCCAUUGGCCAGAGCCAGAGGUAAAGGAAAAGAGAUACAAUCAGUGGCCCGAAGAAGAGGUCAAAUUUGAUCCAGUACUCUGCAAAUGUGGUAUUGAAGCUAAGUAUGGAUUAGUUCCUUCCGAGCUUGGUGUUGGAUAUUUUUGUGGACAUAUGGUCGAUUACGAUGAGGUUGGUAUUUUUGUUUUUGCACCAUCUGUAAUGUUAUAGCGGUACUUACUAUUUUUUUGUAGGAGACGAGGAAAUGCAGUUGGGAGAGUUACGACGACAAAGGAGAGGUGAUGCACACAAUAGAGUCCAAGAGAAUAAUGGGACAGAAGAUGCGUUGUGGAUCUCGGCUCGUUGAUUCGUACAUUAACGAUCGCAUACGCGACAUGCGUAGGGAAGCAAAAUCUGCCUUUUAUGAUGGCCCGAAGCGUGUAGAGUAUAGGAGGUUGAAGGCAGCAGUUGAGAAGAGAGCACAGGAUGCAAGGGAAUGGGAAGCGGCUCAAGCCGAGAAACAGAUGUUGGAUAAUCUUGCUGAUCGCCUCAAGGGAAGUAAGUGAGAUAAAUGAUAUUAUAAUUAUGUUAGUACAAUAUAUUUAUCUUGACUUUGCUAACUUAUUUUUCUCAUUAUAUUUGCAGAGAUUGGAAGCGGCGUAAACUAUUUGGCUGAUGAGGCGCAUGCGAGAUAUGUUUAGGAUAAAAUGGCAACGGUUGAGCUGAUGGAGGAGGAGGAGGACGACACAUCUAGAUUGAGUGAGCUUAUCGCUCUCGCAGAGGCAGGAUUACAUGAAGUAUAGGAGGACGACACAUCAAGGUUGAGUGAGCUCAUCGCACUAGCUGAGGCAGGAUUACAUGCUCAAGAGGAAGAGGAUGAGUUUAUGUCUCAGGCCGCCGAAGAGGUAGAGGCAGCUUAUUACAAGAAGAAGUCUAAUGAGGCUGAGGCUGAGGAUGAGCUAUUCUCCCAAGCUGCAGAUGAAGCAGAAGCUAAUUAUUACAAGAGAACUGGUGACAAGUGUGAUGCAGGACAAUGCAGCAAGUGGAAUGAGGUUGUCGUUGAGGAUUGCGCGACGGAUGACUCCGAAGAUGAGUUACUCAUAGAUUGUGAUUCAGACUGAAGAAUUGUAGCCUGUUAUGUAGUAUUUUUGUAUCAAAAAUAAUUUAGAACUCUAAAGAUGCGUUACUUAUUGCUUGUUAUGUUUUUUACAAUUCACAAAAAAAUUUUGCAAGAGUUCCCCUUGUUUUAUUAACAACCACAGUUCAAAUAAUCACAUAUUAUAAGACAUGUAAGCAUUUCAACAUAUAAUACAUCACAAAAUAACAUCGAAUAUAAAAACAUCCACAGAACAUAGUUCUUCAUACAAUGUCCACAAACAAAGUCCAAAAUACAAUGUCCACAACACAUAGUCCAAAACACAUAACAUAGUUCAUAUUACAACGUCUCCAGCAUGAGUCCAAAUCACACAGUUUUCAGGAUAAGACCAACAUCACAAA